Molecule: ribosomal RNA, 434 nt
Filed under: uncultured bacterium
Lineage: Bacteria
Description: partial 16S ribosomal RNA
Rfam family: Bacterial small subunit ribosomal RNA
Source: RNAcentral
AGCGAACGCUGGCGGCAGGCCUAACACAUGCAAGUCGAACGAACCUUCCGGGGUUUGUGGCGGAUGGGUGAGUGACACGUGGGAACGUGUAUUUAGGUACGGGAUAACUCAGGGACACUUGUGCUAAUAACGAAUGUGCCCUUCGGCGUAAAGAUUUAUCGCGGUUAGAGCGGCCCGCGUCUGAUUAGCAAGUUGGUUGAGGUAAUGGCUCACCAAGGCGACGGUGUGUAGAUGGGCUGUGAGGAUGAGCAGCCACAUCUGGACUGAGACACGGCCCGAACUCUUCGGCAAGGGAGCAAAGGGUAAUCUUGCCCAAUGGGCGGAAGGCUGACGCAACCAUGGCGCGUAAAUAAUGAAGGUCGGAGGAUUGUAAAAUUCUUUCACCGGGGACGAUAAUGACGGUACCCGAAGAAGAAGCCCCGGCUAACUUCGUG